CGUCUUACCUGGUAGUCUUAGGUGUCGCGUUUGUUAUGCCUAAUACUGUCAGGUAAAGAUGUC
Molecule: microRNA precursor, 63 nt
Filed under: Eisenia fetida (common brandling worm)
Lineage: Eukaryota; Metazoa; Annelida; Clitellata; Crassiclitellata; Lumbricidae
Description: Efe-Mir-8-P4_pre stem-loop
Rfam family: mir-8/mir-141/mir-200 microRNA precursor family
About the family: The bounds of the precursors are predicted based on conservation and base pairing and are not generally known.
Source: RNAcentral